UACAGAGGUCCCGAGCGUUGUUCGGAUUCAUUGGGCGUAAAGGGUGCGUAGGCGGCGGGGCCAGUCUGAUGCGAAAUCCCGGGGCUCAACCCCGGAACUGCAUUGGAUACUGCCUUGCUAGAGUACUGGAGAGGGAACUGGAAUUUACGGUGUAGCAGUGAAAUGCGUAGAGAUCGUAAGGAAGGCCAGUGGCGAAGGCGAGUUCCUGGACAGUGACUGACGCUGAGGCACGAAGGCCAGGGGAGCAAACGGG
Molecule: ribosomal RNA, 253 nt
Filed under: uncultured bacterium
Lineage: Bacteria
Description: partial 16S ribosomal RNA
Rfam family: Bacterial small subunit ribosomal RNA
Source: RNAcentral